RNAcentral lists this long non-coding RNA (1195 nucleotides) under Homo sapiens (human). Its description in RNAcentral is "HSALNT0321740". The record is from RNAcentral. Lineage: Eukaryota; Metazoa; Chordata; Mammalia; Primates; Hominidae.
CUUUUGAUUGUUUGGUCACACCACACUACAACUCAAACAUUCUGAGCUGACCCAGUGGGGACAUGCAAACAUUUUCCAUAAGAGCCUUGUGGUCAGUGAUAUACAGGUUCAGAAUUCUGGGAUCUAUUAUUAACAAGCCAUGAGAAGUCAGAAAUCCUUUCAAGCUCUUGUACUCUGCUUCUUUGACCAUCACAAGAGAAUUCAACUUUCUGUUUAACUUAGAAAGGCUUGGGAUAAAGGGCUCAAGCACCUCUUACUGCCUCCUCACUCUGGAACCAAAUGCCUUACUUGACAGGAUCACAGAAUGUGAAUUUUGAACAGAUCUGAAAAGUUAUUAAGUUCAACUCCACAGAGGUUCCUAGGAGAAUGUUAACAGUCCAGACCUUUUUCACUACAUCAACCACGGAUGAUUGGCAUAUAAAAUCCUACUUAACCUUUACAUAACUGCAAUACCAGGAAACAAAUAUGUCAAUAAAAGGAAACAUCAUUCAAUUUUUCUGAGAAUGCAUUCUUCCAUCAUUCCUGAAGUAGAGGUGUACAAAGCAAACUUCUAAUGCACUGCUGGUUUACAUUUCCUGUAUUUUCAGUCUAAACAAAAAUAAAAAGAACAAAACAGCUAAAAUGAUGAGGGAAAGCACAGAUCAUUCCUAAACAGUCAAUUCUAGAGCCAGUCCUUCAGUUCAAGAAUAACUCAACAGCCUAGAGAGAAGAAAAUAAGAAGCUAUAGUGAACAAAAGAAGAAAAAUGAAAAGGUGACCACCAGGAGAAUGAAGUAUAUUGGAGAAUAAAUGUCCCACCGUUUCCUGAUUUCUUGUUGAUGGCCUGGGCUACACCAACAACCUGGUAUAAGGAGAGAAAAGCGACAAUUUUUUUAUUGACUGAAAUUACUUGUAAAAAUUCACCAAAAUGUAUUUAUAGAAGAUAUCCUGCAUGUGCUUUAAAAUAACACUAGUCUACAAAACAAAAGCAAAACCCCUCAUCAGCAUUUGAGCAAGCUUUACAUCAUUUACCACAUUCUUUCAUCCUAAUAAGAAUUCGAAUGUUUUUAAUUUAUUAGGGCCCAAACUAUGUUUGAUCCUGUGAUUUCACCCUGCAUUUUGAAUGAAAUUAUUUUAGCAAUCACAUUUUAAGUAUAUAUUUUCCAUAGUUUUUAAAUAUAAACAACACAUUUUGAUUACAGUUCCAAUAAAGUAUA